CCUACGGGUGGCAGCAGUGGGGAAUAUUGGACAAUGGGGGCAACCCUGAUCCAGCCAUGCCGCGUGUGUGAAGAAGGCCCUCGGGUUGUAAAGCACUUUCAGUGAGGAAGAACGCCUGGUGGUUAAUACCCAUUAGGAAAGACAUCACUCACAGAAGAAGCACCGGCUAACUCCGUGCCAGCAGCCGCGGUAAUACGGAGGGUGCGAGCGUUAAUCGGAAUUACUGGGCGUAAAGCGCGCGUAGGUGGCUUGAUAAGCCGGUUGUGAAAGCCCCGGGCUCAACCUGGGAACGGCAUCCGGAACUGUCAAGCUAGAGUGCAGGAGAGGAAGGUAGAAUUCCCGGUGUAGCGGUGAAAUGCGUAGAGAUCGGGAGGAAUACCAGUGGCGAAGGCGGCCUUCUGGACUGACACUGACACUGAGGUGCGAAAGCGUGGGUAGCAAACAGGAUUAGAUACCCUAGUAGUC
This 465-nucleotide ribosomal RNA is filed under the name Vreelandella stevensii. RNAcentral describes it as "partial 16S ribosomal RNA". It matches the Rfam family "Bacterial small subunit ribosomal RNA", at positions 338 to 795 of the family's 1533-position model. The record is from RNAcentral. Lineage: Bacteria; Pseudomonadati; Pseudomonadota; Gammaproteobacteria; Oceanospirillales; Halomonadaceae.